CAGCAGCCGCGGGAAAACGGAGGGGGCUAGCGUUGUUCGGAAUUACUGGGCGUAAAGCGCACGUAGGCGGCUUGGUAAGUUAGAGGUGAAAGCCUGGAGCUCAACUCCAGAAUUGCCUUUAAGACUGCCGAGCUAGCAGGUGAGAGAGGUAAGUGGAAUUCCGAGUGUAGAGGUGAAAUUCGUAGAUAUUCGGAAGAACACCAGUGGCGAAGGCGGCUUACUGGCCCAUACUGGACGCUGAGGUGCGAAAGCGUGGGGAGCAAACAGGAUUAGAUACCCGAGUAGUCCCUGUCUCUUAUAC
This 301-nucleotide ribosomal RNA is filed under the name uncultured bacterium. RNAcentral describes it as "partial 16S ribosomal RNA". It matches the Rfam family "Bacterial small subunit ribosomal RNA", at positions 509 to 807 of the family's 1533-position model. The record is from RNAcentral.